This 23-nucleotide non-coding RNA is filed under the name Cricetulus griseus (Chinese hamster). Lineage: Eukaryota; Metazoa; Chordata; Mammalia; Rodentia; Cricetidae. The record is from RNAcentral.
CACAUCACUGUUAGAGGAAUUCA